AAACUUUCAACAACGGAUCUCUUGGUUCCGGCAUCGAUGAAGAACGCAGCGAAACGCGAUAGCUAAUGUGAAUUGCAGAAUUCAGUGAAUCAUCGAGUCUUUGAACGCACAUUGCGCCCCCUGGUAUUCCGGGGGGCAUGCCUGUCCGAGCGUCAUU
This 157-nucleotide ribosomal RNA is filed under the name Aspergillus tardus. Its description in RNAcentral is "5.8 S ribosomal RNA". It matches the Rfam family "5.8S ribosomal RNA". Rfam says of the family: 5.8S ribosomal RNA (5.8S rRNA) is a component of the large subunit of the eukaryotic ribosome. It is transcribed by RNA polymerase I as part of the 45S precursor that also contains 18S and 28S rRNA. Lineage: Eukaryota; Fungi; Ascomycota; Eurotiomycetes; Eurotiales; Aspergillaceae. The record is from RNAcentral.